GACCGCGUAGCUCAGUUGGCAGAGCAUUGGACUAGUAUCCCAAAGGUCGUAGGUUCGAUUCCAACCGUGGCCA
This 73-nucleotide transfer RNA is filed under the name Paramuricea clavata. It matches the Rfam family "tRNA". Rfam says of the family: Transfer RNA (tRNA) molecules are approximately 80 nucleotides in length. Their secondary structure includes four short double-helical elements and three loops (D, anti-codon, and T loops). Further hydrogen bonds mediate the characteristic L-shaped molecular structure. tRNAs have two regions of fundamental functional importance: the anti-codon, which is responsible for specific mRNA codon recognition, and the 3' end, to which the tRNAs corresponding amino acid is attached (by aminoacyl-tRNA synthetases). tRNAs cope with the degeneracy of the genetic code in two manners: having more than one tRNA (with a specific anti-codon) for a particular amino acid; and 'wobble' base-pairing, i.e. permitting non-standard base-pairing at the 3rd anti-codon position. The record is from Rfam by way of RNAcentral. Lineage: Eukaryota; Metazoa; Cnidaria; Anthozoa; Malacalcyonacea; Plexauridae.